ACUCCCACGAAAUGCCCCCAAACUCCCACGAAAUGCCCACAAAAUUCCCACGAAAUGCCCCCAAACUCCCACGAAAUGCCCCCAAACUCCCAUGAAAUGCCCCCAAACUCCCACGAAAUGCCCCCAAACUCCCACGAAAUGCCCCCAAACUCCCACGAAAUGCCCCCAAACUCCCACGAAAUGAUCCCCAAACUCCCACGAAAUGCCCCCAAACUCCCACGAAAUGCUCCCAAACUCCCACGAAAUGCCCCCAAACUCCCACGAAAUGCCCCCAAACUCCCACGAAAUGCCCCCAAACUCCCACGAAAGCCUUGUCAAAUAUGUGUUUGUGUGUGCUUGGCCGCCGAAGUGUUUGAGAAUACGACCUUUGAUGUCCAUUGCAUUGUCUUAAUCAGGGUUCAUCAAUCUGUUGGUGAGGUUGCUGCCAAAAUUCCAAUUCAUCUAAGUCUAUUUCUAUUUCUUUUAACAGGCAGAUUGUUUAUUAAUACUUACCGGCCAUUGUAUAUAUUUAAUGAUGCCUUAUGUCCAUCGCUACGUCUAAAUCAGUGAUAAUUUAAGUUCGUCUAUCUCUAAUAUAUAUAUUUUUUUUUAGCACAAGAAGAUUAUUUGUUGAUGCUUAUUGAUUAACGUAUAUUUAUUGAAGCUUAAAUGUCCAUCGUAUUGUCUUAAACAUGGUUCGUAAAUCUGUUGGUGAGGUUCUGCGUGUCGCAAAACUUAGCGAGCAUCAAAGUUUACACAUUUUGUUCACUCUAAGAUGCUAAUGUGUCGUGUGAUGGUUUGUAGCACACUCAGGGUACGUCAAGGUGUGUUUAACAAUGCGACGCUACUUCUAGGCAACAUAUAGCCCCUUGAACCACGAACUUAGCGUAGAAAAGCGUUUGCAUAAGUUUUUUUCACUCCAAGAUGCUGAUACUGUUAUUGAAGCACACUGAAGAUACGUCAAGGUGUGUAUUUCAAUGCGACGCUACUUCUAGGCAACAUAUAGCCCCUUGAACCACGAACUUAGCGUAGAAAAGCGUUUGCAUAAGUUUUUUUUCACUCUAAGAUGCUGAUUCGGUUAUUGAAGCACACUGAAGAUACGUCAAGGUGUGUAUUUCAAUGCGACGCUACUUCUAGGCAACAUAUAGCUCCUUGAACCACGAACAUGGUGUAGAAAAGCGUUUGCAUAAGUUUUUUUCACUCCAAGAUGCUGAUACUGUUAUUGAAGCACACUGAAGAUACGUCAAGGUGUGUAUUUCAAUGCGACGCGACUUCCAGGUAACACACAGCACGGUGGACAGCUGGUUGCAACUGUCUUGAGUAACUUACCUUCGUCGAAUAUCAAGAGGAGUUUUUCUUUGUUUUUCUCAUCUGUUUCUCAGAGGCCCAUCGCUCUCCAUAGAUUAAAAGUAACUGGUAUCUUAAAGUGUUCUCUUGUUUCACUUGUUUCUAGAGGUCCGUCGCUUUUUAUACGUCAGGAACUACUGAUUUAAAAUGCUCUCUUGUUCGCCGCCUCGUUGCCAAAGUUUUUAAUUCCUCACUUUAUUCUCAGUUGUUGUUUUCACGUUUUCUUUCACAUCAUGAUUCCUGUUUAGUAAUGGUUAAUAGCCAUCGCGUUACCUAAAGACUAAGAAUUACUGGCUUUAUAAUAUUAUGUUCUUUCGUUGGUCGUCUGUAGUCUCGUUGCCAAAGUUUCUGAUUCCUCACUUUUUUCGUUCUCUAUUGUUGUUGUUUUCACGUUUUUCUGCAUCAUGACUCUUGCUUAGUAAUAGUCAAUGGCCAUCGUGUUGCCUAAAGAUUCAGAAUUACUGGCUUCAUAAUAUUAUGUUCUUUCGUUCGUCGUCUACAUAGUGUCUGGUUGCCAAAGUUUCUGAUUCCUCACUUUUUUCGUUCCCUAUUGUUGUUGUUUUCACGUUUUUCUGCAUCAUGAUUCCUGUUUAGUAAUUGUUAAUGGCCAUCGUGUUGCCUAAAGAUUCAGAAUUACUGGCUUCAUAAUAUGUUCUCCCGUUCGUCACCUACAGAGCCUCGUUGCCAAUGUUUCUGAUUCCUCACUUCAUCCUCUUUUGUUGUUUUUCUCGUUUUCCCGCAUCAUGAUUCCUGUCUAGCAAUGGUUAAUGGCCAUCGCGUUGCCUAAAAUGUCGUGUUUAUCUCCGCUUCUUUGUUCCCGCGAGUUUGUAUUGUCUUUCCCGUGUUUUUAUUUGGCGUCCGCUGUUUGCUUCUUAAUUGCUUGGUCAUAGUUAUCCGCCUCCGCCUUAAUCGCUGCCAAAUUUGCUGGUUUUGUGGGAAGAGAGAGAGGGAGGGGAGGAGAGGAGGGGAAUAGGGCCUUGUCUGACGCCAUCCCCCAAAACUUCACCCGGGUCUUAAGUGUUAUGGCUGUUGCUAAAACGCUUCCAGAAACAGCGGUCCUUAAGCUGUGUUGGGAUGACUUUUUAUUUACAAGCUGAGGUUAGAUUGCACUUCUUUUCCCGUCUUUUUGUUUUACUUUAUUUACUCUCCCUAUCUAUCGGGGAGGCGGUUAGCGAGCGGGCGCAGCAUCCAGGAGGACGCAGGUUCGAUCCCGCCCGCCACCACAAGCUGGGAUUUUUCAGUCACCGCCGAGUGGCCUAAGUCUACCCACAUGCUGUCCUGAAGACCACCUAUCAACCCAGACUCUAGAUUUUCUCUUUAAAUGAGAGGUUCAAAGAUGAGCUCAGGGGGGCAGCAUGAACCAAGCAAGACGGCGCCACUAUAAACACUCGCCUGCGCUACAACGGGCUGGGGCCGGCCAUCAGACCCCACCACGAUAGCGAAACGUAAAGGCAAAGAAGAAGAAAAAAAUAUUUAAUAUCUAUCUGUUCUUUUAUUCGUUAAAGUGUCAUCCUAGACACUUAUCGAGGACGAAAGAACGAGAGUAGUAUGCAUAAACACUUAUCGUCAAUGCUGCCCUUCUCCUCAUUUGUCCAGCGCCAAGUGGGUGUGUACUCUGUUGUUUCUCAAGGCUAGGAGGAGGUGUAUUUGCUAAUGGUGUUCCCGCUGUUGGUUGGCCUAUCAUAAGAGACUGUCAUAAGAGGAUUAAGCUGACUGAUCAUAAGGGACUGGAAGAGACUCACGUAUUCAAUUCCCUGUGUUUCUAGGUUUGCAGAGGUUGUGUAGAGAUCAUUCCAGUUCGUUUCUCAAGUAAUAUAUUUCCCACGUUUACUAUAGUGUCAUUCAUGGAAGAAAGAGGAGGAAAGAUAGAAAGAAAAAACUAUAAUAGAAGCAUUGGUUUUACGAAGGAUGAGGAGGAGGAGGAAGGGGAGAAGAGGAGAAGGAGGAGGAGGAAAGAUAAAUAGAAAAAUCAUCAUAGGAGCAUUGGUUUUAUGAGGGAUGACGAAGAGAAAAAGUAGGAGGAGCAAAGAUAGAUAGAAAAACCGUCUCAAAGGAGGAGGAGGAGAGGGAAGAAGAGGAGGAGGAGGGGGAGGAGGCGUGGCAAUACAGGGGAUGGGAGGAUCUGUAUUGAGGGUACACAGACGAGGCACCCAGUCAGUCAGUCACCAACAGCUCGGGGCAGCGGAGGGAGGUGAGGUGAGGUGGCGGGGUGGCGGGGUUGGGGGGAGACGUUUCUGGGUUAGCAUAUGACUCAGAACUUGUGUGUGUGGGAGGGGCAGGCGGCCGGUGAAUGAAGCCUCGAAGGGGUUAAACAAAAGAAGGCAGGACUGAGAGAGGUUUGAGGUCACCAGUUACAUUUUUAAACUAGACGGGAGAAAGUCGAAAGUAUUAAGAUUCCAGAAAUAGCUUUAAAAUAAAUGAUUGGAGGAUAGAUAUGGAGAAACAGAAUGAAGCCUGGGCGGGUUAAACAAAAGAAGGCAGGACUGAGAGAGGUUUGAGGUCACCAGUUACAUUUUUAAACUAGACGGGAGAAAGUCGAAAGUAUUAAGACUCCAGAAAUAGCUUUGAAAUAAGUGACUGGAGGAUAGAUAUGGAGAAACAGAAUGAAAUCUUUUGGGGUGAAACAAAAGGAGGCGAGCUUGGCAGAGGUUUGAGGUUAGCAAUUGCAUUUUUUAGCCAGACAGGACAAAGUUGAAAGAAUUGAGGCUUACGAAAUAGCUGUAAAUGGAGGGAUUGAAGGAUAGAUGUGGAUGAGCAGAAGCAAAACGGGCGAAAGUUGAAAGCACUGAGGUUUGAGAAAUAGUUGUAUAAGAAUAGUCGAAGGAUAGAUAUAGGAAAAAAAAACACAGAAUGAAAGUUGAAGGUAUUGAAGCUUAAAAGAUAGUCGUAAACAAUGUAUUGAAGUGUAGAUAUGAAUAAGUAGAAGCUAAAUGGCAGAGUUGAAAAUAUUAAGGCCUUAGAAAUAGUUGUAAAAUGAGUGAUUGAAGGAUAUAAAAACUGAUGAGGGAAGGUGAAAAUAUUAAGACCAGAAAUAGAUAGUUGUAAAAUAAGGGAUAAACAGAAGCUAGACAAGGGAGAAAUUUGAAAGUACUGACGGGAAAGGAAGUACAAUCUAACCCCAGCCAAAAAAAAAAGAAAAAAAAAAAAAUAAGGAUAAGAAAAAAAAUAAUUAAAACUAAGAUUGCGAAAUAGAUGUAUAUAAGGGACUGAAGGAUAGCUAUAGGUGGGAGAGAUGAUGGGGAGGAGAGGAGAGGUGGAGGAAGGGAGUGGAGGAAAGGAGAGAGGUGGAGAGAAGUGGAGGAAAGGAGGAGGAGGGUACCCACUGUCCUAUCCACUCUUACAGCCAGUCACGCCGCUGCCUUGAGUUACACAGCUGCUCCCCCCUCCCCCUACCUCCCCUCCCCCCUAACACCUGACGGAGGAAGGGGGAGGGAGGGGGGAUGCGCUAACAAGGGAGGUGAGGAGGAGAAUUGGAGGAGGGGGGGGCAGAGCAAGCAAAGAGGAGCAAAUAUGGAGGGGUGGAGGGAGGGAGGGGUGUGGAGGUAUGGAGGUAGGACGUGAGGGAAAAAUUAGGAGGAGAAGGAGAAGGAGAUGGAGGAGAAGUGAAAGGUAUGAGGCGUAGGAGAAAGAGGAGGAGGAGGAGGAGAAGGAGGAAGAAAAUGAGUAUCUGGUGGAAAAUGAAGAGAAGAAGAAGAGUAUGAGUGGAAGGAGGAAGAAAAGGAAAAGAAGGAGAAGAAAGAAAACGAAAAGAAGGAGGAGAAGAAGGAGGGAGAGGAGGUGGAAGAGUAAAAUAAAAGUAGAGACGAAGAAGGAAAGAUGAAAAACAGGAAAAGAUGAAAAAGAAGGAAAAGAAUAAGAGAGAAAGAUGAAAGAAACAAGAAUGAGGAAGAAGAAACACAAGAAUCAGAAGAAAAAAGAGAAACAAGAAGAAGAAAAAAAACAAGAAAGAAUGAGGUACAAGAGGAAGAGGAGGACAAAGAAGAAGAAGAAGAAGAAGAAGAAGAAGAAGAAGAAGAAAAAAAAAAGAAGAAGGAGGAAAAGGAGGGGCCAGGAUACAUUCUUUCAACCACACCUUCCCCACACACACACCCUGGCAUGCGGGCGAAGACAGGUGUUCUGACGUCAGGAGAAGACAGGUGUGAGGGGCCCGUAGGAGCUCAUCAACACACACACAAACACACACACACACACACACACACACACACACACACACACACACACACACACACAUACACACACACACACACACACACACACACACACAGACA
Eriocheir sinensis (Chinese mitten crab) is the source of this 5594-nucleotide long non-coding RNA. RefSeq lists it as uncharacterized. NCBI's taxonomy places the organism in Eukaryota, Metazoa, Arthropoda, Malacostraca, Decapoda, Varunidae. The transcript has 2 exons. The record is from RefSeq and is a predicted model, not a curated record.